Molecule: transfer RNA, 77 nt
Filed under: Bacteroidetes bacterium CG_4_9_14_3_um_filter_41_19
Lineage: Bacteria; Pseudomonadati; Bacteroidota
Also listed under: 3 other names
Description: tRNA-His
Rfam family: tRNA
About the family: Transfer RNA (tRNA) molecules are approximately 80 nucleotides in length. Their secondary structure includes four short double-helical elements and three loops (D, anti-codon, and T loops).
Source: RNAcentral
GUGGGUGUAGCUCAGUUGGUUAGAGUACCAGAUUGUGAUUCUGGGUGUCGUGGGUUCAAAUCCCAUCAUCCACCCCA